AUAGAAUGCCCACCCCAACUCACGCCCUGACCAACCUAAAACAGAGACAUACAAAAGGAACUAAGGUCAGAACGUGACAGGACAUGUAAUUGUACUGUAGUGUAUGUGUGGGGUACAGACAUGUGGCAGUCAUUCAAACAUCUAUUAAAAUGUAUUAUUAUUAUUAUUAUUGCACACGGAGUGAGUCCAUGCAACUUAUUAUGUGACUUGUUCAGAAUUUUUUACUCCUGAACUUAGUUAUGCUCACCAUAACAAAGGCAUUGAAUACUUACACUAAAGACAUUUCCGCUUUUCAUUUUUUGUAACCAUUUUGAAAAACAUAAUUCCACUUUGACAUGAUGGGGUAUUGUGUGUAAGCCUGUGAUACAAUAAUCUAAAUGGAAUCAAUGUUUAAUUCAAGCUGUAACGCAACAAAAUGUGUACAAAGUCAAGGGGUGUGAAUACUUUCUGAAGGCAUUGUAUAUGACCCUGAAUCAGAGGUUAUGAUUUCAUAGAGGCUGCUUUGAAACUUUGCUCUGUGAGAGCUUAGAAAUGGUUGUGUUCAAUAGGGUCAUGUAACUGCAUAUUUCUGUCUGUCUAUGAUGUUUAUGAAUCAUUGUCAUCAUUUCAGUGGAGUAUUGCCUGGAGCCCAAACCCGGCCAACUGAAUAUUAUCCUUGUUGUCGUCCAGCUACGACUCGGUGAAACAUAAGAUAUUACAGUUUUUAAUGUACCGUUGGUAGGAUAGUCUCGAAUGGAGCUCAUCCAGAUUAUUCUCCAGUGAUUGCAUGUUGGCCAAAAGAAUGGAUAGUAGAGGCAGGUUACUCACUCGCUGACGAAUUCUCACAAGGCACCCUGAUCUCCACCCUCUGUACCGCUGUCUUUUCUUCACGCGAAUGACGGGAAUUUGGGCCUGGUCUCGGAGAAACAGUAUAUCCUUUGCAGAAGACUCAUUACAGUAAAAAUAUUUGUCUAGUUCGAGGUGAGUAAUCACUCUUCUGAUAUCCAGAAGCUCUUUUUGUUCAUAAGAGACCAAUGUACAAAAUAAGUUACAAACAAUGCAAAAAAACACAAAGUAGCACAGUUGGUUAGGAGCCCAUAAAACCGCAGCCCACCCCUCUGGCGCCAAUAACAGUAUAUGUUAUCUUAACUGUGGCCAUGAUGGUUUGAUUGUGUGUUCACAAUGGGGAACUUUUCUGAAGAGAAGGAGGGUGUUUGGUUGGAGCGUAAUUUAAGAGGAAGACUUUUCCAUCCAUUACACCUGUAAGGUUUCCAGUGACAGAGGCAGUCCUUCUGCCUCCUUCACACUACAGCCUACAGAUCCAAACUAUCUGUUCCCUAUUGGGGUACUACUGAUCACUCUGGUAUUGGUGUUUACUGUUAGUGUUGUGAUUUACCAUUGCUUCAAGAUCGACAUCAUGCUGUCUCUCUGGAGGAUGUUCCCGCUUCUCCACAUAAACACAGACUGAUGGGAAGCUGUAUGAUGCGUACAUGGCGUACCCCCGUGUGCAGAAAGACGAGGUGCCCAGAGAAGAACAGCCUGUUGAACUUGUGAUGGGAUUGAUGGGCUUUGGAGAGGACAGUGAUAGACACAAGGAGGAAAUAUGUUGAAUGAAAGGACUUCUGAUACCAUGGAGAGUAUAAAUGUUGUAUCUGCCUCUCACAACACAUUUUCAUGAACAUUUAUUGAAUCAGACUUUGGAAGAUUGGUCCUCUGGGGUGAGAUGUAUUUUUGGCGGGAUGAUGAUUGAUCGUCCUGCCGAUGGAAAAUGUUAAGAGUGUAUUAAUUCUGACCAUAUUGGCAGAGCAACUCAAAUACACACACAUGCACGCACAGACACACAAACCACACACACCAUUUAUCACCAUGUUGUACAUACACACCACAUCUGUGAGAGAGCUUUAAUAAAGAGAGCCCAGUACAUUUUAUACAAUGUA
Long non-coding RNA from Oncorhynchus gorbuscha (pink salmon), 1916 nucleotides. RefSeq lists it as uncharacterized. The record is from RefSeq and is a predicted model, not a curated record. NCBI's taxonomy places the organism in Eukaryota, Metazoa, Chordata, Actinopteri, Salmoniformes, Salmonidae. The transcript has 3 exons.